Diceros bicornis minor is the source of this 1177-nucleotide long non-coding RNA. RefSeq lists it as uncharacterized. NCBI's taxonomy places the organism in Eukaryota, Metazoa, Chordata, Mammalia, Perissodactyla, Rhinocerotidae. The record is from RefSeq and is a predicted model, not a curated record. The transcript is spliced from 3 exons.
GAGCCGAGCCCUGAAGGUGUAAGUAGGUGAAACUGGAGUGGGUUGGAGAAGAGUUGCAGGCAGGGGAACAGCAUGUGCAAAGGUCCUGAGUCAGAAGGGAGCAUGGCCUAAUGAAGUAGCAGAAGAAGGUGACAUCUUCUGUUCUCCACCUGGAGUGGAGAGAGCAGUGGAGAUGGGGCAGCGGCUGGAGGGGUCGCUGAGUGUGGUACAAGCAGGGGCCAGAUGAAGCUGGGCUUUUAAACCAGGGGAAUGCCCAACUGAGGGAUAGCCUCAGUUAUUCAUUUCUUUCCCGCUGUCAUGGCGUCGACCCAUCUAGUUGGAUAACAUUGAGUCCAUCCACUGAGCACGUAGACAAUCGGCAAACGGCGGGAAUAGCCUUAAGCUGGAAGUAAAUCUAUGGAAUCCAUUUGGAAUGCUCUGAGGGGCGGUGUGGCCCCUGGAGGAUUUCCUGAGCUAUGCUGUUCUCCAGAGACUUGGUGAGAUUCACAAGCAGUGCCUUGGGAGAUACUUUGGCGAGAUUGGAAUAUUGUGGGGUGAGGAAGCGAAGAUAAGAACACCCUGGUGUAAAAGAAAUGUCCAUCGCGAGGUCAGUUCCUUCUUCUGCAUUGUGAGAGGGAUGCCAGCCCUGAUAUCAGGUCCCUUAUGUUAAACCCAGCGUGGAUGGGGUUAAAACCAAAUGCACUCAUUCCCUCUCCCUGCUUCUCUAAGUCACAUUCAUAUGUAAAUAUCGUUUUUUAAACCUUUGUAUCCCUGAACUUUACAAGGCAAAUAGAAGUUACUAAUUGUUAAAAGCCCAGGUGACCUCAAGCUGGGCUCACACUGAAGUUUCGGCUAAUGACCAGUUCUUGAGGUUUGUUACAGGGAAACUGAUAUCCAGAGAAUAUGAAGAAGGUAAAGCUUCUCAGACGUCAACUCCUUAGCUUCCUGGCUCCAGAAUCCACCCUCCACCACAGAGACAGACAACCAAGGACACCCCCACCUGUGAUUCCCCUAUCCCACCAUCCUCCUCCCUGCCAGUGGCCUCGCAAAGCCAAAGGCAGGCUGGUGAGAAAGCACCAACCAGCAGGCAGCCGCAUUCCUCUCGACCUUUAAAACCCCAUGCCUCCCAUCCUUCGGGAAGACAGGACAAAUUUGAGAGCUCUCAUCUCCCGGCUGAUGUCACCUGAAAUAAAAACUC